GACGAACGCUGGCGGCGUGCUUAACACAUGCAAGUCGAACGGAAAGGCCCUGCUUUUGUUGGGUGCUCGAGUGGCGCACGGGGGAGUAACACGUGAGUAACCUGCCCUUGACUUUGUGAUAACUUCAGGAAACUGGGGCUAAUACCGGAUAGGAGCUCCUGCUGCAUGGUGGGCGUUGGAAAGUUUCGGCGGUUGUGGAUGGACUCGCGGCUUAUCAGCUUGUUGGGGGGGUAGUGGCUGACCAAGGCUUUGACGGGUAGCCGGCCUGAGAGGCUGACCGGCCACAUUGGGACUGAGAUACGGCCCAGACUGCUACGGGAGGCAGCAGUGGGGAAUAUGGCAGAAUGGGCGGAAGCCUGAUGCAGCAACGCCGCGUGCGGAAUGACGGCCUUCGGGUUGUAAACCGCUGUCGCCUGUGACGAAGCGUGAGUGACGGUAAUGGGUAAAGAAGCACCGGCUAACUACGUG
RNAcentral lists this ribosomal RNA (468 nucleotides) under uncultured bacterium. RNAcentral describes it as "partial 16S ribosomal RNA". It matches the Rfam family "Bacterial small subunit ribosomal RNA", at positions 28 to 507 of the family's 1533-position model. The record is from RNAcentral.